GGCUUUCUCCUGAGCCGUCGGAGGGAGCCGGAGCGCUCCUCUUGAGUUGGUGAUCGACCAUUUGUGGUCCAGCAUGCACAAGUGAGUGGUGAAAGGCUGCAGAGCUGAUGGGUCGUGAGGAUGUAAGUGCGUUUGAAGGCUCUCACACUCUCUACUCCAGGGUAAGUUACAGGCCUUCUCUGCCAUUGUUGCUCUGGUUUUACUCUUAUCUUAAUGGUCUUUUGGAGUCCAUGCAAUUUGUGUGCCCUGUCUGAAAGUUCCCAAAGCCUUUAAUGAUUCAGCUCAUAGAUGCUAUUCAGAUUAGUACUUACAAAGAUAAAACCGUGGUCAGGGUAAUGGGAAGGAAUCAGUAUGUGUAAAUAUCUCAACACAAUAAUUUCACUUAGUGACUUUGUAUGAGAUGUGAUUUACAUGGGGGCUGUGGGGAGGAUGUUGGACCUUCCUGAGAUACACUGCAGAGCAUCCUCUCUCUCAGCACCCUCCCCCUCCAUGGAUCACUUUGCAUAACUUUUCCUGCAUUAAUUACCUUUUUUUCAGGUGUUGGGGGGGGGAACAGCUUGCCAGAGAGUUGAUGAUUCCCAGUUUCACAGAUGAUAUAGCUAAGUACUAGCAAAGUUUUGCCCAGUGUCACUGGGAGUCACUUGUACCCGCUCCCCCACCUCUCUGCAGUCCCUAGUGCAAUGGUGGUGGGCACUGGGAGUAUUUUAAUGAAAGCUGGCUUUAUUUAUUUAUUUUUAUUUUAAAAAGUUUUUUUAGGGCCGUUCCUGAGGCAUAUGGAAGUUCCCAGGCUAGGAAUGAAUCUGAGCUGCAGCUGCCAGCCUGUACCACAGCCACAGCAACGCUAUAUCCAAGCCGUGGCGGUGUCUUACACCACAGCUCUUGGCAAGACUGGAAGGCUGGACCCUUAACCCACUGAGCAGGGUCAAGUAUUAAACCCAUAUCCUCAUAGGUAAUAGUCGGGUUUGUUAUUGCUAAGUCACAAUGGGAACUCCACCAAAGUUGGCUUUAGAUUUUAAUUUCUUCUAGAGCUUAAACUAAAACCAGAUUCAUUGAAGAGAAAAUUAUAAUUAAUAAAAAUCUAAGCAGAGCUAAGGAUGGUUAGAAAAGAGGGAAAAAGGAAGUUAUUUUUUAAAAAAGUACUCACCUGAAAAACUGGAUAGAUGGUUGUUUUAAGCAUUUCAGUUCAAUAGUGUGGAGCCCUUGCUAGAUAAUGUCCCAUUACCCAGGCUCAGACAGAGGGCACCCAGAAAGGCUGAUGUUCUUCAAUGCCUCAUAUGGAUCAGUAAGGAGCGAGUACAAUUUACUAAAUGAAAUAGACAAUUAAGGGCUAUAAAUCUCUGGAGAUUCCCGUAAGCAUACAUUGUUACUGCAUUGGGGGGAUGCACGUGCUUAGAGAUAAGCAAAGCAGAGGCAGUAGCUGCAAGGCUUGUCACAAAAUGAAGAGUCCAGGGGAACAGCCAGAUGCAGACCCCUGCCUAGUGCCUGGGGGUCACUAAGGAAAGGAUUUGGUCUUUGCUAAGCUUUCUCCUUAAAGGAAGGGAGCUAGAUGUUGCCAGCUUUCCUCAUUUUCUUCUGUGGCUCCCAUUUAUUUUCUAUUCUAAAAGUAACUAAAAAGUAUAACAUGCCAGAAAUAGCACUCAACUGGCAUGUUUCUGUUUAAAUACCAUUCAAUGAUCAAAUUAUAGAGGAACCCAUUCUUUAACUAGUGAUUAGAGGGCAAAGAAAGUAAUGCUAGAGAUGCCAGAGGAUCAGGGAUCCUUAUCCUCAGCACCAUUAACAUGCCAAGCCUGGUGAUUCUUUAUUGUGGGCUGUUCACACAUUGUAGCACAUCUUUGGCCUCUACCAGCUAGAUACUCCCCUUCCCCCACCCCAGAAUCGUGAUAAUCAAAAUGUCUCCAGAUACUGCCACUUGUUCCCUGGCCGGUGGGGGGCGGAAUUCUGGUUGAGAAGCACUGCUGGUGGCAUACAGUGAUUUAAUCUUGCUCUGAAUUUCUCUGGGACUGUUUCAAUCAUUAGCCUCCUUUUGCUACAAUUUCCCUACCUGUAAAAUAGACACAGCAUUUGUAACUCAGUAGCCUAAGGAGGUACAUAGUAUUGUGUGACUAUUUGGGAGCUCAUAAUGCCAAUACCUAUAUCCUAGUCUUGUGAAGACAGAGGCUGAGGAGCAGGGGAGUUGGAAGGGUGUGAGAAAUGCGGAAUGGUGUUGGAUUCUGAUUUUACUAGAAGGCUUCCAAUUCUAGUUCAUUUCAACAAUAUACUCUUGAACGAAGGCUUGUGGGGGAGGAUUAAGAAAGGGGACAAUAAAGGAGGGAAAAAGAGGCUAUUUAGAAGAGCAGUCAAGGAGAUUGCUUUUGAUCUGGAGGUGGGGGGUGAUCUCUUAUCGUUAAAGUGAUUUAUGUGUAAUUAGACCAAAGGACAUAAAGAAGUAACCCCCUUGCUCCAAAGAAAAAUAUUCUCCCAAAUGACUACUGAUCCUAGAACAGAUUUUUCAGGUAAUACAACAAAGACUGGAGAGUGUUGGAGAAAUCUGUUUUUAUUCUAGAACAUUUACAUUUCUGCUGCUUCUCUUCUUUGGCUUAUCAAAAAAGGUCAUCUUCAAUCCAUGCCUUUUGAUACAUACAAUGUUUGAGUAUGACACAUGCUCUUCUGAUACUCUUCUAGAACUCUGUAUUGGAAUGCUGAAAAAGGCCUAUCACCCUGACCCAGGCCUGAGGUGAUCACACUAUUUUACUAAGGCAGGGCAAGUGCAGGGAUUAGAUGUAAAUUGUCUUGGUAGGUUUGAAUUCAGCCUUGCUGUGUUUCUGGUCCCUGUAAUUAUUAGACAUACUCACAAAAUUUACAACAAUGCUACCUUGUUGACGCAGACUCAGUGGGUCCAACAUCAGAGGAAAUUCUGUUGGACAGCACUGCUUUAGUCUGUCAGGACCCUGUUUGUUAGAAACCCACCCUUGGAGUGCCAGCAUGUGUUUGUUAUGAAAGGACCUCACCUCAUUUAAAGCAGGAUUGUGUUUUGGACUUCUCCAUCCUAGGGGGCUUUUCAGUCUGUGAGUGGAUCUUGCUGAACUUUUUACCUUGCUGCGGCAUCUGUCUGUUAAAGAAAUUGCCAUGGGCCUGUGUUUCUGACAUAACUGAGUUCACUGUCUCUAAAAUAUUUGCUCUUUAAUCCAAGGCUGCUGAACCGUCUCUUUCCAUUUGGUCUCUCCAUGCCCUAACCCUCAGUGGCAAAGCUUGUUUGUGCAGGAUGUCUCUUUUGAUACUGCCUAGAGCUUCAGCGUCUGGGAGAGGUGGUGAGAGAGUUUUCACCUCCUCUUCUUUCAAGCCCC
Molecule: long non-coding RNA, 3323 nt
Filed under: Sus scrofa (pig)
Lineage: Eukaryota; Metazoa; Chordata; Mammalia; Artiodactyla; Suidae
Description: lncRNA (ENSSSCG00035048384.1)
Source: RNAcentral